This is a long non-coding RNA of Xenopus laevis (African clawed frog), 382 nucleotides long. RefSeq lists it as uncharacterized. Lineage: Eukaryota; Metazoa; Chordata; Amphibia; Anura; Pipidae. The record is from RefSeq and is a predicted model, not a curated record. The transcript has 3 exons.
UUGGAUUCACCUGCAGCCUGGAGGGCUUGAACUCCCAAAUACCUCUGCUGCGUGCAAGCUACUGACUGUCAUUCACCUUUUGCCUUAUGGCCAAAGCUCUGUUUGCUGUAUUUCCAUAAGUGUAUCUGCUAUGUAGUGGGAAGAUUACUAGAAUACACAGUGUCAAGCCCAUGCAGCAGUCAGUCAAAGUACAAUCAAUCGAGGUUGUUGAAAGUUGGUGUUUCGUCGACAUUCUCAGUGGUGAAUUUCCAAGCCUUAAAGUUCAGAAGAGUGGUGGCACACGAUAAGAUUCCGGGGAGAGUCUCGUCGCUCUCAUUCUCAGAUUACCAAAGACCUGGAAGAUGGCUCCCGUGAACUCCGAUCCCUGAAUCUGCAUUGAGGG